This 252-nucleotide ribosomal RNA is filed under the name uncultured bacterium. Its description in RNAcentral is "partial 16S ribosomal RNA". It matches the Rfam family "Bacterial small subunit ribosomal RNA", at positions 524 to 775 of the family's 1533-position model. The record is from RNAcentral.
UACGGAGGGUGCAAGCGUUAUCCGGAUUCACUGGGUUUAAAGGGUGCGUAGGUGGGCAGGUAAGUCAGGGGUGAAAUCCUGGAGCUCAACUCCAGAACUGCCUUUGAUACUGAGGAUCUUGAGUUCGGGAGAGGUGAGUGGAACUGCGAGUGUAGAGGUGAAAUUCGUAGAUAUUCGCAAGAACACCAGUGGCGAAGGCGGCUCACUGGCCCGAUACUGACGCUGAAGCACGAAAGCGUGGGGAGCAAACAG